RNAcentral lists this ribosomal RNA (400 nucleotides) under uncultured bacterium. RNAcentral's name for it is "bacterial SSU rRNA". It matches the Rfam family "Bacterial small subunit ribosomal RNA", at positions 361 to 775 of the family's 1533-position model. The record is from RNAcentral.
AUAUUGCACAAUGGGCGAAAGCCUGAUGCAGCGACGCCGCGUGAGGGAAGACGGCCUUCGGGUUGUAAACCUCUGUCAUUCGGGACGAAUUAGAUGACGGUACCGAAGAAGGAAGCUCCGGCUAACUACGUGCCAGCAGCCGCGGUAAUACGUAGGGAGCGAGCGUUGUCCGGAAUUACUGGGUGUAAAGGGAGCGUAGGCGGGAAAGCAAGUUGGAAGUGAAAUGCAUGGGCUUAACCCAUGAGCUGCUUUCAAAACUGUUUUUCUUGAGUGAAGUAGAGGCAGGCGGAAUUCCUAGUGUAGCGGUGAAAUGCGUAGAUAUUAGGAGGAACACCAGUGGCGAAGGCGGCCUGCUGGGCUUUAACUGACGCUGAGGCUCGAAAGCGUGGGUAGCAAACAG